This 69-nucleotide transfer RNA is filed under the name Rattus norvegicus (Norway rat). It matches the Rfam family "tRNA". Rfam says of the family: Transfer RNA (tRNA) molecules are approximately 80 nucleotides in length. Their secondary structure includes four short double-helical elements and three loops (D, anti-codon, and T loops). Further hydrogen bonds mediate the characteristic L-shaped molecular structure. tRNAs have two regions of fundamental functional importance: the anti-codon, which is responsible for specific mRNA codon recognition, and the 3' end, to which the tRNAs corresponding amino acid is attached (by aminoacyl-tRNA synthetases). tRNAs cope with the degeneracy of the genetic code in two manners: having more than one tRNA (with a specific anti-codon) for a particular amino acid; and 'wobble' base-pairing, i.e. permitting non-standard base-pairing at the 3rd anti-codon position. Lineage: Eukaryota; Metazoa; Chordata; Mammalia; Rodentia; Muridae. The record is from Rfam by way of RNAcentral.
GGGGGUGUGGCUCAGUUGGUAGAGUGCUUGCCUAGCAUGUAUGAAGUCCUGGGUUCGAGCCCAGCCCCA